UCCCAGCCACAGGCUCACGAACAAAUUGUUCACGAAACUAUGGCUGGGCAGUCUAAAGUGACAUAUAUAACACUUUACAGGGGUUGCGCUCGUUUCCCGACUGAACGGAACAUCUUACGACACGAGCUGACGACAACCAUGCAGCACCUGGUCUAGCGGCCUCGAAGGACUUCUCAUUUCUGAGAUCUCCAGCUAGAUUUCAAACCCUGGUGAGGUGCCUCGCUUACCGUCGAAUUAAACCACAUGCUCCACCACUUGUGCGGAUCCCCGUCUAUUCCUUUGAGUUUUAAGCUUGCGCUCGUACUUCCCAGGCGGCAUAUUUAACGCGUUAGCUACGGCACAGAAAGGGUCGAUUCUCCCUGCACCUAAUAUGCAUCGUUUAGGGCGUGGACUA
This 394-nucleotide unclassified non-coding RNA is filed under the name uncultured bacterium. Its description in RNAcentral is "contains 16S-23S intergenic spacer region". The record is from RNAcentral.